Molecule: ribosomal RNA, 402 nt
Filed under: uncultured bacterium
Lineage: Bacteria
Description: bacterial SSU rRNA
Rfam family: Bacterial small subunit ribosomal RNA
Source: RNAcentral
UAGGGAAUAUUGCAAAAUGGGCGAAAGCCCGAUGCAGCAACGCCGCGUGGGCGACGAAGGCCUUCGGGUCGUAAAGCCCUUUUGAGGGGAUGAGGAAGGACAGUACCCUCAGAAUAAGCCUCGGCUAACUACGUGCCAGCAGCCGCGGUAAAACGUAGGAGGCGAGCGUUAUCCGGAUUUACUGGGCGUAAAGCGCGUGCAGGCGGAUUGGAGAGUUGGAUGUGAAAGCUCCCGGCUUAACUGGGAGAGGUCGUUCAAUACUUCCAGUCUUGAGUGCAGUAGAGNGAAGUGGAAUUCCGGGUGUAGUGGUGAAAUGCGUAGAUAUCCGGAGGAACACCAGUGGCGAAAGCGGCUUCCUGGACUGUAACUGACGCUCAGACGCGAAAGCUAGGGUAGCAAACG